AAUGGGCGAAAGCCUGACGCAGCAACGCCGCGUGCGGGAUGAAGGCCCUCGGGUCGUAAACCGCUUUCAGCAGGGAUGAAAAUGACAGUACCUGCAGAAGAAGCCCCGGCUAAAUACGUGCCAGCAGCCGCGGUAAUACGUAUGGGGCAAGCGUUAUCCGGAUUUAUUGGGCGUAAAGCGCGCGUAGGCGGCUUGUUAAGUCAGGUGUGAAAUCCGGGGGCUCAACCCGCGGCUUGCAUCUGAAACUGGCAGGCUUGAGUCUGGUAGAGGAAAGUGGAAUUCCUGGUGUAGCGGUGAAAUGCGCAGAUAUCAGGAGGAACACCAGUGGCGAAGGCGGCUUUCUGGGCCACGACUGACGCUGAGGCGCGAAAGCUAGGGGAGCGAA
This 385-nucleotide ribosomal RNA is filed under the name uncultured bacterium. RNAcentral describes it as "bacterial SSU rRNA". It matches the Rfam family "Bacterial small subunit ribosomal RNA", at positions 370 to 772 of the family's 1533-position model. The record is from RNAcentral.